Molecule: ribosomal RNA, 609 nt
Filed under: Epiphyas postvittana
Lineage: Eukaryota; Metazoa; Arthropoda; Insecta; Lepidoptera; Tortricidae
Description: SSU rRNA
Rfam family: Eukaryotic small subunit ribosomal RNA
Source: RNAcentral
GCGGUAACUCCAGCUCCAAUAGCGUAUACUAAAAUUGUUGCGGUUAAAAAGCUCGUAGUUGCAUUUGUGCUGCGCGCUGUCGGUGCACCGCAUCCGCGGUGAUACUGACACGUUUGCGGAGCAUAUCGUCGGUGAGCCGGCGGUCAAACGCCGGUUCAAUAUCAAAAUCCUAUCGCGAUGCUCUUCAGUGAGUGUCGAGGUGGGCCGACAAUUUUACUUUGAACAAAUUAGAGUGCUCAAAGCGGGCUCAAAAUGCUGCUUGAAUAUUUCGUGCAUGGAAUAAUAGAAUAUGAUCUCGGUUCUAUUUUGUUGGUUUUCAGAACUCCGAGGUAAUGAUUAAUAGGGAUAACUGGGGGCAUUCGUAUUGCGACGUUAGAGGUGAAAUUCUUGGAUCGUCGCAAGACGAACAUCAGCGAAAGCAUUUGCCAAAGGUGUUUUCAUCAAUCAAGAACGAAAGUUAGAGGUUCGAAGGCGAUUAGAUACCGCCCUAGUUCUAACCGUAAAUAUGUCAUCUAGCGAUCCGCCGACGUUACUACAAUGGCUCGGCGGGCAGCUUCCGGGAAACCAAAGAUUUUGGACUCCGGGGGGAGUAUGGUUGCAAAGCUGAAA